This 57-nucleotide transfer RNA is filed under the name Ovis aries (sheep). It matches the Rfam family "tRNA", at positions 8 to 63 of the family's 71-position model. Rfam says of the family: Transfer RNA (tRNA) molecules are approximately 80 nucleotides in length. The record is from Rfam by way of RNAcentral. Lineage: Eukaryota; Metazoa; Chordata; Mammalia; Artiodactyla; Bovidae.
UGGCUCAGAGGUUAAAGCGUCCACCUGCAAUGUGGGAGACCUAGGUUCAAUCCCUGG